UCUGUGGUACUCUAUUUGGAUAUGCCCUACAAUUCUAUAGUCAUGUGAUCCACAAUGUCCAUACGGGUGGAUUUGGGUAAAAUGCUGCUCAUGUUGAGAUCUGAUUUCGUGAAAUAACACUCAUACAAAUAAUUUAAAGAGUCAGAUAAGAAGAAUUGAAUGAAUCUGCGCAGCGCCCAGGGCGACGCACGUGAACAAGCAAAAAAGCUGCUGCUGGCCACCACCACCGCACGAAUCACGACACCGGGUUGUAUGAUGACUUUCUAACUACUAGCCACUACUACGAAUCCGAUGUUAGCUAGCCUAUUAUCUUUAUUUCUUGGUUCGUUAAAGUUGUUAUGCAAGCAAUGUAAUACAUCGUGCGUUUAGUUUACUAAAUUGAGCAGCUCCAGCUAGCUAGCUGUCGCAUACCAAUCUGACAGCACAGCUUAUUGGCUGGCGCAGCUCAAGUUAUUUUUACAUUUGGCUUAAUAAUUGCAAGUGUUUUAGAAGAGUAUCACUUGCGGAUAACCACAUUGCUAGCUCUAAAUUAUGUGUCCAAUUUACCAUGAUUAGAAAAGUAGUUACAAUGAACACUCACCGAAUGUUUUUGCUCCUCUGUCACUGUGAAGCAAACCAGGAAGAAAACAAAAUAGCACUUUGAUUGACAAGCCAACCCACGAAUGCAAGCAAUGAGUAACGGAUGGACGCAGCCAAUGACACGUCUCUGGAACAAACAGAGGGUGAAUAAUAGCUAUGCCCCUGAUGUGUCGUUGGGGCUUUGAGUGAUAAUCAUCUAGGGGUGAGUUGUGGUUGCAGCAGCCUUCAGGAAUCCUUUUUCCAGGAAUGGAAACACCGGAGAACCUUCACCAGAGAACAUGUGGGUGAACAUGGGGUCAAACAGAAACAGGCUUAAUCAUUCUGGGAAAGAAAGAGCGGUGAGCUGAAGCUGAGCAAACCAGGUCAAGAGAUGAAUCAAAAUACUGUCAUAAUGCACCUUUGCUAUUCUCAAUCAUCCUCAAGAGGCAGAUACAGUGACAGUUUUCCUUGUUGACGGAGCGCUCGUCUUUCCAGGAACAUUCCCAGAAAGAGGGGUCACGUGUGGAUGAUAUGGUCUCAGUUCCACCAAUCCAUGGCCCAAACGAUGAAGUCACCCACAGCCAAAGAGGGAGCGGAAAGCGGUCUAAGGCCCACUGAAAGGCCGGUGGUGGCUGGUCCCCUGCAAGAAGGUGAGGUGCCUGAGGUCCCUCCGCCCCCUCUGGACAUCGAGGGGUCCCCGGCGUACACAGUUCGAGGCAUUCUGGAUUCGAGACGCCGGGUGGGGGGCCUACAGUACCUCGUGGGCUGGGAGGGGUACGGUCCGGAGGAGAGAUGCUGGGUUCCGGUGGGGGACAUUUUGGACCCUUCUCUCCUGAUAGAUUUCCACCGCCUCCACCCUUGAUCGCCCAGCACCUUGUCCUCCGGGUCGUCCUCGAGGACGGUGGCGGCGCGCUGCGGGAGCCGCGCAUCGGGGGGGGGGGGGGUACUGUCACGACUUCCGCCGAGGUUGGCUCUCCUGCCUGUUCAGGCGGUGCUCGGCGGUCGUCGUCACCGUCCUACUAGCCACUACCGAUCCCUUUUCGUGUAUCUGUUGGUUUUGUCUGAUUGGUUUCACCUGUGUGUUGUUUAGUUAAUUAGUGUCUAUAUAUGUAGUAGGUUGUCCCGCCCUUGUUUUGUGCGGGAUUGUUAUUUGUGUAUUCAUGUCAGUCGGUGUAUCUUGUGUUGUUAUUCUCCGGUCUGUCUUUAUCCUGUGUUGGAUUGUUCACCCUGUGUGUGUUGGGUUGACUGUGUUUCUUGUUCGCCGGAGAAUAAACUGUCAUAUCACUA
Oncorhynchus masou masou (cherry salmon) is the source of this 1845-nucleotide long non-coding RNA. RefSeq lists it as uncharacterized. Lineage: Eukaryota; Metazoa; Chordata; Actinopteri; Salmoniformes; Salmonidae. The record is from RefSeq and is a predicted model, not a curated record. The transcript is spliced from 6 exons.